This 468-nucleotide ribosomal RNA is filed under the name uncultured bacterium. RNAcentral describes it as "partial 16S ribosomal RNA". It matches the Rfam family "Bacterial small subunit ribosomal RNA", at positions 28 to 507 of the family's 1533-position model. The record is from RNAcentral.
GACGAACGCUGGCGGCGUGCUUAACACAUGCAAGUCGAACGGAAAGGCCCUGCUUUUGUGGGGUGCUCGAGUGGCGAACGGGUGAGUAACACGUGAGUAACCUGCCCUUGACUUUGGGAUAACUUCAGGAAACUGGGGCUAAUACCGGAUAGGAGCUCCUGCUGCAUGGUGGGGGUUGGAAAGUUUCGGCGGUUGGGGAUGGACUCGCGGCUUAUCAGCUUGUUGGUGGGGUAGUGGCUUACCAAGGCUUUGACGGGUGGCCGGCCGGAGAGGGUGACCGGCCACAUUGGGACUGAGAUACGGCCCAGACUCCUACGGGAGGCAGCAGUGGGGAAUAUUGCACAAUGGGCGGAAGCCUGAUGCAGCAACGCCGCGUGCGGGAUGACGGCCUUCGGGUUGUAAACCGCUUUCGCCUGUGACGAAGCGUGAGUGACGGUAAUGGGUAAAGAAGCACCGGCUAACUACGUG